GUGGGGAAUAUUGGACAAUGGGCGAAAGCCUGAUCCAGCCAUGCCGCGUGUGUGAAGAAGGUCUUCGGAUUGUAAAGCACUUUAAGUUGGGAGGAAGGGCAGUAAGUUAAUACCUUGCUGUUUUGACGUUACCAACAGAAUAAGCACCGGCUAACUUCGUGCCAGCAGCCGCGGUAAUACGAAGGGUGCAAGCGUUAAUCGGAAUUACUGGGCGUAAAGCGCGCGUAGGUGGUUCAGCAAGUUGAAGGUGAAAUCCCCGGGCUCAACCUGGGAACUGCCUCCAAAACUACUGAGCUAGAGUACGGUAGAGGGUAGUGGAAUUUCCUGUGUAGUGGUGAAAUGCGUAGAUAUAGGAAGGAACACCAGUGGCGAAGGCGACUACCUGGACUGAUACUGACACUGAGGUGCGAAAGCGUGGGGAGCAAACAGGAUUAGAUACCCUAGUAGUCC
This 450-nucleotide ribosomal RNA is filed under the name uncultured bacterium. Its description in RNAcentral is "partial 16S ribosomal RNA". It matches the Rfam family "Bacterial small subunit ribosomal RNA", at positions 354 to 796 of the family's 1533-position model. The record is from RNAcentral.